UUUUUUUUUUUUUGGUAUGAGUCUCUAGGGCUGCCAUAACAAAGUACCAAAAACUGGGUGGUUUAAAAUGAUGGAAAUUUGUUCCCUCACCGUCUUGGAGGCUAGAAGUCUGAAAUCAAGAUAUCAGGAGGGCCAUACUAUCUCCAAAAGCUAGGCUUUUGUCCAACAAGAGCUCCUAAUCAAGUGGGGGACACAAACCAGUGCCAAUGACCAUGACACCUAUAGACAGACGACUAGGGCUGCAGUCAAGUUUAUAAGUCAGGUGCCGUCCUCAGAUGGGGAAGGACUGGGUUUUCUGUGUGGGGUGCAAGGAGAAGGAUGAUGGUAUUUCAUUUAGGCUGAGCAAAUUUUAACAAGGAGCCCUGGUGGUGUAGUGCUUAAGCACUUGGAUGCUAACUGAAAGGUUGGCAGCUCGAACCCACCGGCCACUCCACAGAAGAAGGAUGUGCAGUCUGCUUCCAACAAGAUUACAUACAGCCUUGGAAACUCUCUGAGGCAGUUCCACUCUGUCCUAUAGGGUCACUGUGAGUCAGAAUCGACUUGACGGCAAUGGUUUGGUUUGGUUUUUAAUAUUUUAACGGAGGGAAGUGGUGGUUCACUGGUAGAAUUCUCUCAUUCUAUGAAGUUGACUCUGGUUCGAUGCCUGGCCAACGCACCUCCUGCCGAGCUACCACCCGUCUAUCAGUGGAGGUUUGUGUGUUGCUAUGAGCUGAACAGGUUUCCGCAGAGCUUCCAGACUAACUUGGACUAGGAAGAAGGGUCUGGCCAUUUACUUCCAAAAACCAGCCGAUGAGAACUCUAUGGAUCACGAUGGACCAAUCCACAACCAAUCAUGGGGAUGGUGCAGGACCAGACCGUGUUUUGUUCCACUGUGCGUGGGGUCACCAUGAGUCAGGGGUCAACUCGAUGGCAGCUAACAACAACAUAUUACCCAUGAAGUGCCCACAGUAGAUGUAGAAUGACCACACAUUGCUUGUCUGGGGGUGGGAUUUCUCCCUGCCAAACCAGCCUUCGGUAAGCAAACAAGAGGCUAAUUUUAAAAAGCCAAUGAGCGAAUGUGCGUGUGCAGCCCCAGAAGCCCCAGUUGGAUCCUAAACCAAGAGUGGCUCAGAAAUGCCUGCUCACAUGUGAUGCGCAGAUAAGGCCAGCCACUGAAGGCUGCUUUCCCCCGAAGGUUCCUGUGUGCGGGAGAAUAAAGGCCUGUCCCUUGGCUGAGGUGCGGCAGGGCCAGUAGUGGGGUUUUGUCUCCAGUAUCCAGCCCCUGCUCAGCCCCAGGGCCUCGCCUCUGAGCCUGCUAUUUUUGAGACAGGCUGAUGGCUGACUGUUUCCAUGACAACAAACAGCUUCCAUCCCCCAGUGGACCAACAGGAUGCAGAUGGUGGGGGAAGACGGGGACAUGAUUUCCCCAAUUCUCCCCAGAACGAGUGUGGCUUUGGAGAAGUGGACCCCAGGAAAGCUUGAUUGUAUGCCAUUUUCAGCCAGGGCAUCAUGGUCCCACACAGGCCUAAGGCCCCAUCCCUGGGGGGCUUGUGAGCCCCAAGAUAGCAUCUGAGUGGCUGUUUGUGGGGUCACACAAGACCCCGUAACCUCAGAAAUGACUCAGUAUGUCUGAGUGGUGGGGGAAUUCCUGGGUUGUGCAAAUGGUUAAGGCGCUCAGCUACUAAACUAAAGGUUGGCGGUUCAAGUCCACCCAGAGGUACCUUGCAAGAAAGUCCCGGUGAUCUACUUCUGAAAGGUCACAACCCUGAAAACCCUGUGGGGCACAGUUCCUCUCUGACACACCAGAGCCCCGAUGGGCUCGACAGCAGCUAGUGGCGGUGCUGAUGUGGGCGGUGGUGACACGUGGGAGUGGUUAUGAGUCAGGGAAGCCGGGAGGCCCUCAGGCUAAAGACGGGUGCCUAACGGGGGUUAAGGUGACCAGCAAGUGGGCCACGGAAUCCAAAUAUUGCCACGUUGGCAAGGCCGGAGCCAAAGUGGACAAUUUUCUGCUUGCAUUCAAUGAAAACGUUCUUAUCACCUGCUUAGAGAAGCCAGCCCAGGUGACUUUGAGAGCCAAAUCCCUGGAGAAAUGAAUCUGACUGAACAAAGAAGUUUUAUUUAUUUUUUUUUUUCACUCUCCGCAGAAUGACAAAAGUUACACAUGCCAGUUCUUCUGUUAUUUCAUUCGUUGACACACUCAUGUAAACCAAGCUGCGAGUUAUCACUGGUUGUGUCCAGUACACAGGACACGCCAAGUACCAUACAGAGCACACAGCACCUUUGAUUGGAAGUAUGCUGAAUACAUGUGCUAUUUCCAUAACUAAAAAGGGCUCUUCAUGAGCAAAAGCCACAGAGUGACCACCCAGAAACGUCCGCUGUACGAGCUGAGCUGAACGCAUCUAAACGUCCCCUCUCUAAACGGCUUCUGAGUAUGGUUCUAGUUUUCUACAUCUAGAGUCAAUGGCAGAAUUUUUUUUGUGGUUGAUCACGGAUGUGCACAAAGGCCUACUUCUUAAACUAAUGAAAAUAUGGUCGGUGGAAAUAUGAAUAAAUAGACAAAUUCACUAAAUAGGUUAAGCUGAAUUUCGUCUUCUGGGAAGUUUUCGAUUUAAUUUACUGAUUGUGGAGUAAUGCAGUACUUAAUAUGGCCCUUCUAGCCAGAGUCUUUGUGACUCACACACAAUGAUUGAGUGGGACUGUGCAAAUAAGGUAUAUGGAACCCAUGACGGUUGGGGCUAUGUGUCAACUUGGCUGAGCCAUAAUUUCCAGUAUUGUGUGGUGUCCCUCCAUUUUAUGCGUUGUGGAUCCUGACCUCUACCUGUUGAUGAGGGAGGAUUGGUGUAAGGCGUGUCUUGGGUCGAAGCCUCACAGAAGGGUAUGAGUCAAGCCCCGCCCUUACUAAUGUUACACCCUUUCCUGGGGUGUGGACUACAUCUUUUAUAUGUGUGUCCUGGAGAGGCUCUCUCUGUCUAUAUCCAUGUUCUACAUCCAGUUGGUGAUCAGCUGACUGCCCCAGAGGCCUGCUGUCUGACCUGCUGAUUCCGGGAUUUGCCAGCUCCUACAGCCCCUUGAUGAACUGAUUUGUCAGCUUUUGCAGUCUUGUGAGCCAGCAGCCUGUGGUCUGAACUGCUGGUUUGGGUUUGUCGGCCCCUGCAGCCACAUGGGUCAGGAGAAGCCUACGCCUGACCCAAGAAUUUGGGACUUGCCAGCCUCCACAGCCUCGUGAGUCAUUUCCUUUGUACAGUUCAUGAGUUGUGUGAGAUGUUGCAGCAAACUAGGGAAGGACUGAGAGAGGGAGAGGACUGAGGGGAGGAGGAGUAGCUGAUGUUAGAGAUGAUGGAGUGGGACAGCAGUUUGGAAAAGUUGGACAUUUGGGAUGUCUUUAACCUCCGCCUCAUAGGAAGCAGCUUUGUGCUGAUUCUUAUAAAAGAAAUUCUUUGUUUACUGAUUUUAUUCAAAUUCCCUAUUUGAAUUGAGGUUGGGACUGUUGUUUCUCUCUGCCAGCUUUUUGCACGGUGUCAUAUUUUACUUUUUCCACUCAGUAUGGAGAUGAAAUGAACCUCUUGGUGGUUUUAGGAGAAGUGAUGUUUUAGCUGCCAUAGUGAAAUGGAAAAGACCGUUCUGGCACUAGUAGGGGAUUUUUGAGAAUUCUGUUCAUUGACAAUCUUUGUCACGUAAAUUUUGUCUCAUCUGCUCUCAGCAUCUAAAACCAAGAACUGAUCAAUAUUACUGAAUAAGAUUUCCUUUUAGGCCACUAUGGGGAUCUAUGUAAAAAAAAAAAGAUACCUUUUAUUUGGAUUCAUUCCCUGCAAACAUGAAUGUUGAGACUAGUCAUUGCAACUAUUGCCCAAACAAAACGAAAACAAACUUUUUUGUUUCACGUUUUUAUAGUUCUCUUAAUGAGGCGGUCUUUUCUUAGCUUCUUUCUAAGUUUUCAUUCUUCAGCCUCAGAGUUUAUAGUCUAUUUAAAGUUGGAAAAAAACUAACAAUGGGCACUUAAAUGACCGUAUGGGCUUCUAGUGCAUCUCCUUUGGGCUCAGAUGCCACUACUUCCAGAGAAAGCUGGGCCCAUGAGGGCUCAACAAGAUAAUCUCCCCAUCCCAACCCAAUGCUAUAGCACCAUCUUCACCAUUUAUCGCAAUUAAAUAAGCAUAUUGGCUUCUUUCUAAACUAAAGAUUAAAUAUAUUAUUUCAUUUUAAUACUUUUGGAUUCAUACAUCUCAUAUCUUAUACUCAAGUUAAUAAUUCCUAUUUGCUAUACAUUUAUGAAAAAGUCUUAUAAACAGCUUUAUAAUUAAUAGAUAUUCCUGGUAAUAUAGAUUUGGGAAAUUACCCCAAAUGCAGGAAAAAUCAAGCACAAAAAGCACAGAGAUGCUCAUCCCAAUGACCAACCGGGAACAGCCUUCAGCAUCACGGAAAUCAGUAAAUGUUGAAUGUUAUGCAAAUAUUAAUAUAAUGCUUCAGAAGGCCAUGAAUAAAAAGAAAACACUUUUGCUAAAAUAGCAAAUGAAAAAGACUAUAUAAAAUUGUAUCUGUAGUGUGAUGACAUUAUAUAAGUUUCAAAAGGAGAAAUGAAACAUGCUUAGAAAAAAAAAAAAAACAGACUUGGAAAAAAACAUCCUGAAAUGUUACUGGGGAUUAUGUUUAGGUAGUGGGACUAUUGAUAUUCUUUUUACUAAAUUUUCUAUACUACCUAUGUAUUAUUUUAAUAGGAAAAUAAUAACGAAGAGGAGAAAGAGGAGCACCCAGUGAAAACAAAAUCAGUAAUGUCUCUCAUAGUUUCAUUUUGGGAUGAUUUUCACAUUCAUAGGAAUGGGGACACUUUCUUCAAUGGGUGUUCCUGGUGAGACUUCAAGGGACACUUCUCUACCACCUUCCUCGACAGAUGCCUCUGACAUUACACCUGUGAAAACAAAAAAAGAACACUGUUAAGAACAGAUUUCCCAAUUCCAUCCUCAGAAUAAAGUUUGCUUCAAAAUAUACUGAUAUGUGUUCUUGGCAGUGUAAACUGAAUGACCAAGGUUGAAUGACCAAGGCUCAACUCAUUCAAUCUAGGCUAAGACCCAGAACAUUACUGAGUGCUUCGUUUGCUCAGGAAUUUCUGCAUAAAUAAAAGGAGUUUAUAAUAAAGUCAAAAAAUGCAGUGAUGUAUCAAAAUACAGUUAUAUGAUAAUUCUCAAAGGAACAACUCCAAAUUCUUUCACUGAACUACAAUUGAUGGAUUACGUGGUACAAAUAGUUUGCGCUCGACUCUUGGUGGUUCAAUCCCACGCAGCAGUUCACGGAAAAAAAAGGCCCGGCGAUCUGCUUCCAUCAAGAUUACAGCCAAGAAAACCUUAUGGAGCAGUUCUAUUCUGUAACACAUACGAUCAUCACGAGCUGGAAUCGGCUCAGCAGCAACCAACGACAGCGACAUAGAUUGAGUUGUAUUCCACAAGAAGAUGUGCUGAAGUCCUAGCCCUUGGUGACUACGAAUAUGACUUUGUUUGGAAACAGGGUAUUUGAAUAUGUCGUGGGUUACGUUACCAUGAGGUCAUACCGGAGUAGGGUGGGUUGUAAUUCAAAAUGACUGGUGCCUUAUAAAAAGAGAAAAGACACAGAGACAGACAGACACAGAAGCAAGACGGCCAGGUGAAGACAGAGGAGGGAUGGAGUAAUGCUGCUACAAGCCCAGGAAUGCCUGGGACCACCAGAAGCUGGGAGAGACAAGGAAGGAUCCUCCCCUAGAAUCAUCAGGGGGAGCACGACCCUGCCAACACCCUGAAUUCAGACUUCAAGCCUCCAGAAAUAUGACAGAAUAAAUUUCUGUUAUUUUAAGCCCACCCAGUUUGUGGUAUUUUGUUACAGCAGUCCUAGGAAAGCAAUAUAAAAUUUUUCAGAGGGUCUCAUUUCCAUGUGGUCCUCAAGGAGGGUGCUUACAACUUUAAAUAUAAAGGUAUGAGAAAAUAAGAGUAGCUGGGUGGUGCAAGCAGUUAUCGCGGUUGUCAUGCUUGGCUGCUAACAAAAAGGUUGGUGGUUCGAGUUCACCCAGAGACACCUUGGAAGAAACCCUUGGUAGGCUACUUCCAAAAAAUCAGCCAUUGAAAACCCCACAGAGCACAGUUCUACUCUGACACACAUGGGGUCUCCAUGAGUUGGAGUCAACUUGACAGCAACUAGUUGGUUAUGAGAAAACGUAUGGCCUUUCUCUCAUCCUGGAUUCUUAUUUCCUUUCAAUCUCAGUGUGGAAGAAAGAAAAAAUAUACAAUUGCCUGUUUGUUCAUCCCAAGUUACUGGACUAAAGGCCGAUUUAGGGACAGAGCCCAGAUGGGAGAAUCCAUACAGAUCUGGCCCCGCCCAUGUCAGUUCUCUGCCCUGACUCAACUGCUGCAGUUCACACCCAUGGGAUGGGGGCUGGCUGGCAUUCCCUUCCCCUACUCCUACCUCAGGGAGAGAAGAUUGCCUCGUCCCUCUACAGAAAGAAGCAUUCCAGAGUCACUAGAAGAAUAAGAUUUUAGCCUCACGUAGCUGGUUGCCAGGAGCCCUGGUGGUGCAGUGGUUAAGAGCUCUGCUGCUAACCAAAAGGCCGGCACUUCAAAUCCACUGCCUCUCCUUGGAAACCCUAUGGAGUAGUUCUACUCUGUCCUAUAGGGUCGCUAUGAGUCAGAGUCAACUCAAUGACAAUGGGUUUGGUUUGGUUUUAGUCAGUUGCGACAAACAUACAUUUUCAGUGAGAUUUUUAAGGUUUUUUUUUUUUUUUUAAGGAUAUGCCCAAACAGACACAUCAAACAAGCGGAUUUUAUAUUCACAAGUAAAAAAUAUACCAAAAAUUGGACACGUCAAAUUCACUGUUUCUAAAGAUGUCAGCGGUUAAGAAUUUAUGGGGCA
Long non-coding RNA from Loxodonta africana (African savanna elephant), 6846 nucleotides. RefSeq lists it as uncharacterized. NCBI's taxonomy places the organism in Eukaryota, Metazoa, Chordata, Mammalia, Proboscidea, Elephantidae. The record is from RefSeq and is a predicted model, not a curated record. The transcript has 3 exons.